This 64-nucleotide transfer RNA is filed under the name Micronecta sahlbergii. RNAcentral's name for it is "tRNA-Asn". The record is from RNAcentral. Lineage: Eukaryota; Metazoa; Arthropoda; Insecta; Hemiptera; Micronectidae.
UUAAUUGAAGCCAAAAAGAGGCAUUUCAUUGUUAAUGAAAUUAUUGGUCAAUAACCCAAUUAAA